This 420-nucleotide ribosomal RNA is filed under the name Triticum aestivum (bread wheat). RNAcentral describes it as "partial small subunit ribosomal RNA". The record is from RNAcentral. Lineage: Eukaryota; Viridiplantae; Streptophyta; Magnoliopsida; Poales; Poaceae.
AUGACCAAAAUAUAUCCAGGUGAAAGCUUAAACAUAAGCUAUCUGAGCCCUUAUCUGAAGGCAUUGGGUUCUAAUUACAGUAACGGAGUGAAUUUUGCUAUUAGCGGUUCAACAACACUACCACGGGACGCCCUUUUUGUAUUGCAUGGACAGGUGCAGGAAUUCUUCUUCUUUAAAGCCAGAUCUUCCCUCUAUAAAAAAAAGAACGAAACGAAGGAAAACAUUUCCAAUUUGAAGAUUGACUCCGCGAUGAUGAUAGUGACCACCCUAAUGAGCGCCAAUGACGCCGCCAUCCACCCACAUUUCCAAUUUCAGUUUCUAUUCCAGUCGCCACAGCCGAGUGCCCGUCUAAUGGUUUAUCCUCCAGUUGACAGGGGUCUCUGCCUUCGCUUCCUCGCUAGCUUUUUUGGCUAUCAGUAG